Molecule: transfer RNA, 65 nt
Filed under: Dipodomys ordii (Ord's kangaroo rat)
Lineage: Eukaryota; Metazoa; Chordata; Mammalia; Rodentia; Heteromyidae
Rfam family: tRNA
About the family: Transfer RNA (tRNA) molecules are approximately 80 nucleotides in length. Their secondary structure includes four short double-helical elements and three loops (D, anti-codon, and T loops). Further hydrogen bonds mediate the characteristic L-shaped molecular structure. tRNAs have two regions of fundamental functional importance: the anti-codon, which is responsible for specific mRNA codon recognition, and the 3' end, to which the tRNAs corresponding amino acid is attached (by aminoacyl-tRNA synthetases). tRNAs cope with the degeneracy of the genetic code in two manners: having more than one tRNA (with a specific anti-codon) for a particular amino acid; and 'wobble' base-pairing, i.e. permitting non-standard base-pairing at the 3rd anti-codon position.
Source: Rfam by way of RNAcentral
GGUGGCUCAGUGGUAGAGUGCUUGCCUAGCAUGCAUGAGGCCUUAGGUUCGAUUCCUCAGCACCA